UUGUGGCUCAGUGGUAGAGCGCUUGCCUAGCAUGUGUGAGACACUGGGUUUGAUUCCCAGCAA
RNAcentral lists this transfer RNA (63 nucleotides) under Ictidomys tridecemlineatus (thirteen-lined ground squirrel). RNAcentral's name for it is "Spermophilus tridecemlineatus (thirteen-lined ground squirrel) tRNA". It matches the Rfam family "tRNA", at positions 5 to 66 of the family's 71-position model. Rfam says of the family: Transfer RNA (tRNA) molecules are approximately 80 nucleotides in length. Their secondary structure includes four short double-helical elements and three loops (D, anti-codon, and T loops). Lineage: Eukaryota; Metazoa; Chordata; Mammalia; Rodentia; Sciuridae. The record is from Rfam by way of RNAcentral.